This 97-nucleotide signal recognition particle RNA is filed under the name Acidobacteriota bacterium. RNAcentral describes it as "Acidobacteria bacterium signal recognition particle sRNA small type". It matches the Rfam family "Bacterial small signal recognition particle RNA". From Rfam's summary of the family: The signal recognition particle (SRP) is a universally conserved ribonucleoprotein involved in the co-translational targeting of proteins to membranes. Lineage: Bacteria; Pseudomonadati; Acidobacteriota. The record is from RNAcentral.
GUUCGAGCCCCGCGCGAUGCGAACCACCGAACCCGGUCAGGCCCGGAAGGGAGCAGCCGUCAGGCGGACCUCGCAGGUGCCGCGGGUCCCCUUGAAC